Molecule: long non-coding RNA, 376 nt
Filed under: Pongo abelii (Sumatran orangutan)
Lineage: Eukaryota; Metazoa; Chordata; Mammalia; Primates; Hominidae
Description: lincRNA
Source: RNAcentral
GACUUACAGAGACCAAAGCUCCUGAAGUACCAUCAUUCUACCAUGGAUACUGUGAAGUGGUACCACCGUAAAUCCACGUCCUCUAACGUCAGUGGACUGUCAAACCCAGUCAGAGAUGGGUGGAGGUGAUCCGUAACAUUCCCUACAAAUUUUGGUGCCCAACGUGGGGCAUCCUUCACUGGCUGGAACACUGCUUGCUCAAAACUGCUGCACCUGAAAUCCUGGCCCUCUGACAAAAGGCCAGCAAAGGUAAGAAUUCUUAAUACUGUCAGUCUGCUGGAUCUCUGCCUGUGGGCAAGGUGAGAGUGGUAAGACUCUUUUCUUCCUCUUUUCCUCUCUAAAUUUAGACUGGCAGGAGAAAAUAUUUAUGUGAACU